UAGAGUUUGAUCAUGGCUCAGGAUAAACCCUUGCGGCGUGCCUAACACAUGCAAGUCGAACGAUCCCGCAAGGGAGAGUGGCGGAAGGGUGAGUAACACGUGGGAAUCUACCUCCUCGCAGGGAACAACCUCUCGAAAGAGAGGCUAAUACCCAAAAGGGUCAGAAAUGAUCAGAGUCGAAAGGCGUGAGGAGAGGAGCCCGCGGCCCAUCAGCUAGUUGGUGAGGUAAUGGCUUACCAAGGCUACGACGGGUAGGGGAUCUGAGAGGAUGUCCCCCACACUGGAACUGAAACACGGUCCAGACGCCUACGGGUGGCAGCAGUGAGGAAUAUUGGACAAUGGGCGAAAGCCCGAUCCAGCAACGCCGCGUGGAGGAUGAAGGCCUUCGGGUCGUAAACUUCUUUAGAGGGAGACGAGAAAGGACGGUAUCCCUAGAAUAAGCGACGGCAAACUACGUGCCAGCAGCCGCGGUAAUA
This 476-nucleotide ribosomal RNA is filed under the name uncultured bacterium. RNAcentral describes it as "bacterial SSU rRNA". It matches the Rfam family "Bacterial small subunit ribosomal RNA", at positions 1 to 525 of the family's 1533-position model. The record is from RNAcentral.